This 683-nucleotide ribosomal RNA is filed under the name Anthracoidea karii. Its description in RNAcentral is "LSU rRNA". It matches the Rfam family "Eukaryotic large subunit ribosomal RNA", at positions 79 to 654 of the family's 3401-position model. The record is from RNAcentral. Lineage: Eukaryota; Fungi; Basidiomycota; Ustilaginomycetes; Ustilaginales; Anthracoideaceae.
CCUAGUAACGGCGAGUGAAGAGGGAAGAGCCCAAGAUUGAAAGCUGGCGUCAUUCACUGGCGUUCCGCAUUGUAAUCUCAAGAAGCGUUCAUCCGCUACGGACCAGGUCCAAGUCUCUUGGAAAAGAGCGUCAUGGAGGGUGAAAAUCCCGUGUAUGACCUGGAGCCGCCGUAGUACUGCGAUGCGUUUUUUCUCAGAGUCGAGUUGUUUGAGAAUGCAGCUCAAAAUGGGUGGUAAAUGCCAUCUAAGGCUAAAUACAGGGGAGAGACCGAUAGCAAACAAGUACCGUGAGGGAAAGAUGCAAAGAACUUUGGAAAGAGAGUUAAACAGUACGUGAAAUUGCCAGAAGGGAAGGGUAGGAAGUCAGAGAUGCGGAGAGGUCGCUCAGCCGGAUGUUUGUAGUGGGCAUGCGGUGUAAGCGACCGAUCGGCAGGUCAACGUCGGUUCUGUGGGCGCGGGAAAGCGGGGCCGGGCCAUGUGGCAUUUCUUCGGAAGUGUGAUUAUAGACCGGCCUUUUGAGUCUGGACCAGCGACGGGAGCCGUAGUUUAGCAGCAUGAUGCUUCCGGUGUUCUUUGUCGGAGGAGGGCGUGAAAACCUUUUUCCGGAGGGGCGCGGAGGUGUUAGGUCUUCGGGCACUAUUCAUGCUGAUGGCGUUGACUGAAUGGCCGUCUACCACCCGUCU